GAUGAACGCUGGCGGCGUGCCUAAUACAUGCAAGUCGAGCGAACAGAUGAGGAGCUUGCUCCUCUGACGUUAGCGGCGGACGGGUGAGUAACACGUGGAUAACCUACCUAUAAGACUGGGAUAACUUCGGGAAACCGGAGCUAAUACCGGAUAAUAUAUUGAACCACAUGGUUCAAUAGUGAGAUACGGCUUUUCUGUCUCUUAUAGAUGGAUCCGCGCCGCAUUAGCUAGUUGGUAAGGUAACAGCUUACCAAGGCGACGAUGCGUAGCCGACCUGAGAGGGUGAUCGGCCACACUGGAACUGAGACACGGUCCAGACUCCUACGGGAGGCGGCAGUAGGGAAUCUUCCGCAAUGGGCGAAAGCCUGACGGAGCAACGCCGCGUGAGUGAUGAAGGUCUUCGGAUCGUAAAACUCUGUUAUUAGGGAAGAACAAAUGUGUAAGUAACUAUGCACGUCUUGACGGUACCUAAUCAGAAAGCCACGGCUAACUACGUG
Molecule: ribosomal RNA, 497 nt
Filed under: uncultured bacterium
Lineage: Bacteria
Description: partial 16S ribosomal RNA
Rfam family: Bacterial small subunit ribosomal RNA
Source: RNAcentral